Molecule: long non-coding RNA, 6011 nt
Filed under: Sus scrofa (pig)
Lineage: Eukaryota; Metazoa; Chordata; Mammalia; Artiodactyla; Suidae
Description: lncRNA (ENSSSCG00035011293.1)
Source: RNAcentral
GUAGAAUUUUAGAAAAUCUAUUUUCUGAACACUACUUCUUUGUCAGUUACAUGGGUUGAAAUAUAUUGGCCCAAUCUGUAAACUAUAUAUAUGUGUUCACAUGGUAUUUCUUCUUGCCUAUUAUCAUAUGGAAAUACUUAAAUUUAAAUGUAAUGAAAUUUAUAAAAGUAUUUCCUUUCAUGGUUUGUGUUAUUUCCUUUCAGUUGAGGAAUCCUGCCCUCUCCUAAAUUAUGAUGAUAAUUCUCUUACAUUUCCUUUGAAAACUUUCGUCGUUCGUAUUUUCAUGUUUCACUCAUCUAUUUGGCUGGAAUUUAAUUUUGUGCCUGGCAUGAAGUAGAAAACGAAUUUCAUUUUCCUGCUCACAAAUGGCCAAUUUUUUUGGUGCUGCUUAAUGAAUAUCCUGUCAUUUUCUUACUCAUUCAUUAUGCAAACCCUGUCUUUUAUCACAUUUUCGUGUGUGGCUCCCAGUUCCUAGAUUACUACCAGGGCUUUGUAUGAUUUUAGAGGAACUCUUAAUCCAUAGGAGAGCCGAUCCUCCUUCCCGCAUCUUCCAAAUCUCUGCUGGUUGUGUUGCUUUAUUGGUCCACAUGCAUCUUAGCCUCCACCUCCUGAUUUCGGUGAAAGACUAAUUUGAAAUUUGAUGUGCGUGGCACUGAAUUACUGGACUAAUCGUAUACCUAUUUAACAACUAUUACUGAGUGCUUGCCAGGCACGGAUCAAGGCAUCAGCUAUACAGCAGUGAAAAACAAAAUGGACCAAAACUCUGCAUUUGUGACGCGUGCAUAAAUAAAGUGACCAAGUGAGAAGGUGAAUAAAUGCAUGAUAAAUCACUAAGGGCUAUGGAGAAACUGGUACCCAACUCAGGUUCUGCUGCUCACGGCUCAAGAAUUCAAUCCUGAGAGAUAAGUGUUGGGUAAAAGGAAAGGUAGCUGUGUUAAGGAAGACUGCAGUCCUGGGGAGAAGGUAGACUCAUGUCCCAAAGAACCAACUCCCUGGUGUCCAUCAGGGGACAACGGUUUUAAAGGAGAGCUUCAGGAGUGGACAGGUGGGGGCGCUCUAUGCAGAACAGCACAGUCAGGUGCAACCAUCACCGUGGAACUGCUCAUGCAGUGGUCUGAUCAGCAUCAUCUUCAGUGUUUUAAGCACAGUUCAUCUUCUGUUCCAGAGUCAGUUCGUUUCCGUUUUCUCGAGGCCAAUUCUCAGAACUGCGUACGAUGGACCACCUGACGUCAUGGCUACAGUCUGGUCAGCACGCAGUUAGCUUUUUCCUUUUGGUGGCAGUUUGAGUAUCUGUAGAACAACUCAGGAAUGAGCAUCAGACGCUUUAUCUGUGUCCUCGGAGAGGAACUAAGGAUUCUGUGAUGCUCUAUGGCUGACUCUCUGUGUAUAUUGCCAGCACGUGUAAUCAACAAAAGCCAGAGCACGGCUCAGACACAGGUACCAUCUCAGUUCAAAGUCUCCCAUCCACCUAAUUUUGUGUUGAUCCCACAGAGGCUGUGACAUGUUCACACGCACCCCUUCCUAAGGGGCAAUGAAAAAGGUGCCCCCAGCCCCGUACGACUAACAUUCAGGUUAACCUACAGUGGUAACAGCAGCCUUCUGCUUUCCAUUAAAAUAUUUUUAAAUCUUAUCUGGUUGAAUGCAAGAGACAUCUUUUAUACAUUCACCAAAAAAAAGAGGUUGUAUAGUAGCUACAGGACAGUCCCUAGUGGAUCCUUUUUUCUCCAGCUCUAUUGAGAUCUCAUUGACACGUACCAUUACGUGAGUUCAGGAUGUACAGUGUGAGGAUUUGACGCGCUUAUGUUUUGUCGCAAAAUGAUGAGCAACGAAGCAUAACCUGCCCCCUCUGCUGGGUCGCAUAAUUAUCAUUAUUCUUAAUGGCGGCACCUGCAGUGUAUGGACAUUCCCAGGCUAGGGGUCAAAUCCAAGCCGAAGCUGCCAGCUUAUACCACAGUCACGGCAACAUCGGAUCUGAGCCACAUCUGUGUCCUGCACCAUGGCUUGUGGCAAUGCUGGAGCCUUACCCACUGAGCUUUGAGGCCAGGGAUGGAACUUGCAUCCUCAUGGAUACGAAUGGGAUUCCUAACCCCCUGAGCCACAACGGGAACGCCACCAUUUCUUUCUUGUGGUGAGAACAUUUAGGAUGUAUCCAGCAACUUUCAAGCAUGUGAUAAAGUGUUGUUAGUUAUAAUUGCCACGCUGUACCACGGAUCCUCUGAACGGAUUCACCUUAUGCUGGAAGUUUGGACCUUUUGAGAGGCAGCCCCAUUUCCCUCACUGUCAUUUAGUCUUUAAUAAGCUGGAAUACUAGCUGAUGUCUAUCCCUCUAGACUGGUUUUUUUUUGAAGACAAAAAUGAUAGACUGACAUUGUUCGCAUGCACCAGAAAAGUUCCCUCAUCACUUUUUUUUCUGCCUUUAUUCAUUUUUCCUUUUGCUUUGUCCAAAUCCACUGUGAAUAAAAGGCCAGGGGCGAGAAUGAGAGAACCCCUCACACAUGCUUGGUCUCCAUGAGAUGGUCUGUCAUCAGCAUCCUCGGACUUGAUUUGGUCACAGAAUUUCAGGUCAGUGGCAGCCCCACGAAGCCUUCCGAAGCCAUGCCCCUAGCCUUCCACCAACUGGAACUUUCUUCCGAUAUUCAGCCUCCAUGUUUCGGUAUUAAGUUCCCUCCAAAAAUCUGGACUCUUACCCUUGAUACCAGCCACAGAUGUCUUUCUCCUUUGGUUGUUUAUUCUAUCGGCUGUUAUCACAUCAUCAAUCCCCCUCUUUCACUUGGUGUUAGGAAAGCAAUGUGGUUUGUAUUAAUAUCUUCAAUCGUCAAUACUAGGGUCACUUAAUUACCUGUGUUGCUUUUCUUUCAGUCUUCUGCUAUUUACUCUAUUUAUGCUGUGCUUCUCCAGAUAUACCUUUUUUAAGACUGUUAGAAGUGUCAAAUGGAACGGCCACUGGCAUUUCACAGCAGUCUCCAAAGAAAUCUUUUAUUCAUGAAGUUGACAGUGUGGGAAGAAGAGAGCAAGAAAAUGAACAUUUUUGGUGCAGAAAUGAGUUGGGGCCAAGAGGUUGUCCUCAGAGAAGAUUAGAGGAUACAGGGGUAUAAAAACCAGCAGAUAAUUUAUGUCAAGAUAUUAGCACACCUUCCUCUUAUCUUGACCAAAAGGAAUUUUUUUUCUCCCCCUCUUUUUUCCCUAAAAGCUGCACCUGCGGCAUAAGGAGGUUCCCAGGCUAGGGGUGGAAUCUGCAGCUGCCAGUCUAUGUCACAGCCACAGAAACGUGUGAUCCAAGAUGCAUCUGUGACCUGCUGCAGCUUGCAGCAAGGCUGGAUCCUUAACACAAUGAGCGAGGCCAGGGAUCAAAGCUGCAUCCUCGAAGAGACUAUGUCAGGUCCUUAACCUGCUGAGCCACAGUGGGAACUCCAGAAUGAGUUUUGACUGAAAUAGAAUGUGCCCCAAGAAAUUCUCUACUCAGUCAAGUGGUUGCUCUUCAACUUACUAUGUCAAGCCCUACAAAAUCAAUAUGAAAAGGGGAGUUCCCGUUGUGGCUCAGUGGUUAACGAAUCCGACUAGGAUCCAUGAGGUUUCAGGUUCGAUCCCUGGCCUCGCUCAGUGGGUUAAGGAUCCGGCGUUGCCAUGAGCUGUGGUGUAGGUUGCAGACGCAGCUUGAAUCCCAAGUUGCUGUAGCUGUGGUGAAGGGCAGCAGCUACAGAUCCAAUUAGACCUCCAGCCUGGGACCUUCCAUAUGCCGCAGGUAUGGCUCUAUAAAAGGCAAAAAGACAAAAAAAAAAAAAAAUCAAUCCCUGGCCUUCAGUGGGUUAAGGAUCCAGCAUUAUCAUGAGUUGUGGUGUAGGUGGCAUAUGUGGCUUGGAUUCUGCAUUGCUGUGGCUGUGGCGUAGGCCAGCAGCUGCAGCUCCUAUUUGACUCCUAGCCUGGGAACCUCCAUAUGCUGUAGGUUCGGCCCUAGAAAGCAUUAAAAAAAAAAAAAAAAAAAAAAGGAAGAAAAAAAAUUUAGCCUCAUCAAAUAAAAGUAAUUAAAAAGACACUAUUUUUCAAAGAUCAAAUCGACAAAUUAAAAGAAGAUAAUAUGCAGUGUCUUCAAAUAUUUCUUACUUUGUUCUGAUGGCUAAUUUGGCCUUAUGUGCCCCCAAUCAUUACCGUAUUUGUUAGCUCAGAAGCUUAGGAUAUUUCUUAGAAUAGUCAUGAAUAAAUGGAAAGAUUUAUCUAAAAAUGCUUAUUGCACCGUUGCUUGUAACAGAGAAAAGCUGAAUUGAACAUAAAUGUAUUAUAAUAAAGGAUGGAGCAUUACAUCUAUACGAUAGUCAUCAAAAGUCAUUUUCAGUAAGAAUUCUUGUUGGCACGAGUAAAACUCUAAUCUAAAAACUCUAAAAUGCUCUAAACCUUUUUAAAAAAAGAAAACAAACGCACAUACACACACGCAGAAAGUGACCAAAGUAGUUAUACCAGCACAACAUUGUAAAUCAACUACACUCGGAUAAAAAUUUUUUAAAAAAUAAAAAAAUGAAGUAAUUACACCAAAAAGCCACAGUAGUCAUUACCAGAUUGUAGGAUUUUGAAUUUUUUCCUUUUUGUGAUUUUCCCAUAGUUACAUUUUCCAUAUUCUGCAUUUACCACAUUUACCAUUAAUUCUAUGAUUUUUUAAAAAGCCAUUUUGAAAUAAACGUAUAAACUGAAGAGAGUGUUCCACUGAGCAUUUCCUGCAUUCGGGGGUUAAAAAUAAAUCCUUUCAAACGGUCUUAACACCACGUUAGAGUGAAUAAAAGUAUCCUAACGGCUCUGUCUCUGCCAGGUUCUCUGUGCUCAUUUGGGCUGACGCUGGGCGUGCAAUAUUUCAGAUGCCACAGAAUCACCCACGUCCAGUUAUCACAACAGUCGUGAUAAUUACGAGCAUCCGAGAACACCAAGAUGAGCCAAGGCGGUGAGCUGACAGUUACUCUCGUCCCCCUUGAAGGAUGCAGCAAAGUGAUCCCCAGAAGCCCUGGGAUCCACUGAUUGAAUGGCUGGGGUGAAAAAAUCGCUCCAUCACAUGAGGAAAUUUAAGUGCUAGAAUAUGAUUUACAAAAAUUAAAUUGGCAAGGAAUGUGGCAAUAAAGUUGUCUAAUGUAUUCCAGGGUGAUGGUGGAGCGAUGAUUGAAAAUAGCCCAGGGCGAGAGCCAUUUAAAAUCGGCAGCUGAGCGGUGAACAUUUUCAGGGUCUCGGGUUGGGUGGACGACCGGCUUUUUAGUUCAAAGGCUGUAGUCCAUUUCAGGGUUUGACAGGAAGAAGUAAGAGGCCAGCUGAAUUCUCGCCAGAGGAUAGAACAAAGAAUUCAGGAUCCAAUACCCAGCCCAGCUUGCAGGAAACAAUGGUUCUUUCUGCUGUUGUUUGAAAUGCGAACCAGUCACUUUUCUGUUCCCUACAGUUGUAACUAAUGAAAUCCUCUUGGCUGAGCUCUGAACAAUGGCUUCUCUUUCCAUCUCUUGGGUCACUCCUUUCUUACUGCUCUUGUUUCCUCUUUCCUGGAGAACUCUAAGACCUGUCCUGGUGGCUGGUCACUGCCAGGGCUCAGUGCUCUUGGUUACUUUAUUAGCCUGGCUCCUGGUGUAGGAUGAUGAUGGCAUAGGGCAGAGCUGGGAUAUGUAGCAUGCAUCAGAAGAAACCCCUGGAGCUCAAGCCACAGUUCUUUGCAGUUGUUACUGCAGCGUGAUUUAGCCAAAGCUGACUGUUCCAGGGGAGGUAUACCUAGGGCUGGAGUGGAGACAGGUGGGUGCAGAUGCGCUCCUGGUAUGGUAUCUGGCAUGCAGGUGGUGCUCAGUAAGCGUUCCAAAGAAUCAAAAUGCCAGCUUUGUCAUCCGAAGGCUAUGAGACUAUGUCAUCCAAAGCUAUGUCAUCACUUAACUCCAUCCGUAAUCGUGGAUUCAGUGAGCGGCUCUGGUUGCCGUAAGUACUGAUGUGUGAUGGUCCAGAAUGAAGAGUGUUAAACAACAGGACAAGCUAUAGGGUGUCCUACAGACACACGGACC